Molecule: non-coding RNA, 384 nt
Organism: Leptonychotes weddellii (Weddell seal)
Lineage: Eukaryota; Metazoa; Chordata; Mammalia; Carnivora; Phocidae
Source: RefSeq, a predicted model, not a curated record
GUAAUGGAGAUCUUAUUCUGUUCUUUUCAGGUCAGUUGAACAUACUGAUGGUCAAAGUGUCCUAACAGACUCACUAUGGAGGCGGUAUAGUGAAUUUGAAUUGUUGAGAAACUACCUUUUAGUUUACUAUCCACAUAUUGUUGUGCCACCUCUACCAGAAAAAAGGGCAGAAUUUGUUUGGCAUAAACUUUCUGCUGACAACAUGGACCCGGAUUUUGUGGAAAGACGACGGAUUGGCUUAGAAAACUUUCUCUUGAGAGUUGCCUCACAUCCCAUCCUUUGUAGAGACAAAAUCUUCUAUUUGUUUUUAACACAGGAAGGUAACUGGAAGGAGACUGUGAAUGAAACUGGGUUUCAACUGAAGGUAAGAAUAUCUUUAUGAAA